RNAcentral lists this ribosomal RNA (395 nucleotides) under uncultured bacterium. RNAcentral describes it as "partial 16S ribosomal RNA". It matches the Rfam family "Bacterial small subunit ribosomal RNA", at positions 523 to 918 of the family's 1533-position model. The record is from RNAcentral.
AUACGUAGGGUGCAAGCGUUAAUCGGAAUUACUGGGCGUAAAGCGUGCGCAGGCGGUUUUGUAAGACAGUGGUGAAAUCCCCGGGCUCAACCUGGGAACUGCCAUUGUGACUGCAAGGCUGGAGUGCGGCAGAGGGGGAUGGAAUUCCGCGUGUAGCAGUGAAAUGCGUAGAUAUGCGGAGGAACACCGAUGGCGAAGGCAAUCCCCUGGGCCUGCACUGACGCGCAUGCACGAAAGCGUGGGGAGCAAACAGGAUUAGAUACCCUGGUAGUCCACGCCCUAAACGAUGUCAACUGGUUGUUGGGGAUUUAUUUUCUCAGUAACGAAGCUAACGCGUGAAGUUGACCGCCUGGGGAGUACGGCCGCAAGGUUAAAACUCAAAUGAAUUGACGGGG